GAUGAACGCUGGCGGCGUGCCUAAUACAUGCAAGUCGAGCGAACGGACGAGAAGCUUGCUUCUCUGAUGUUAGCGGCGGACGGGUGAGUAACACGUGGAUAACCUACCUAUAAGACUGGGAUAACUUCGGGAAACCGGAGCUAAUACCGGAUAAUAUUUUGAACCGCAUGGUUCAAAAGUGAAAGACGGUCUUGCUGUCACUUAUAGAUGGAUCCGCGCUGCAUUAGCUAGUUGGUAAGGUAACGGCUUACCAAGGCAACGAUGCAUAGCCGACCUGAGAGGGUGAUCGGCCACACUGGAACUGAGACACGGUCCAGACCCCUACGGGAGGCAGCAGUAGGGAAUCUUCCGCAAUGGGCGAAAGCCUGACGGAGCAACGCCGCGUGAGUGAUGAAGGUCUUCGGAUCGUAAAACUCUAUUAUUAGGGAAGAACAUAUGUGUAAGUAACUGUGCACAUCUUGACGGUACCUAAUCAGAAAGCCACGGCUAACUACGUG
RNAcentral lists this ribosomal RNA (497 nucleotides) under uncultured bacterium. Its description in RNAcentral is "partial 16S ribosomal RNA". It matches the Rfam family "Bacterial small subunit ribosomal RNA", at positions 28 to 507 of the family's 1533-position model. The record is from RNAcentral.